UAAAAACCCCGACUUCGGAAGGGGUGUAUUUAUUAGAUACAAAACCAAUGCCCUUCGGGGCUCUUUGGUGAUUCAUGAUAACUAUACGAAUCGCACGGCCUUGCGCCGGCGAUGGUUCAUUCAAAUUUCUUCCCUAUCAACUUUCGAUGUUUGGGUAUUGGCCAAACAUGGUUGCAACGGGUAACGGAGGGUUAGGGCUCGACCCCGGAGAAGGAGCCUGAGAAACGGCUACUACAUCCAAGGAAGGCAGCAGGCGCGCAAAUUACCCAAUCCCGACUCGGGGAGGUAGUGACAAUAAAUACUGAUACAGGGCCCAUUCGGGCCCUGUAAUUGGAAUGAGUACAAUUUAAAUCCCUUAACGAGGAACAAUUGGAGGGCAAGUCUGGUGCCAGCAGCCGCGGUAAUUCCAGCUCCAAUAGCGUAUAUUAAAGUUGUUGUGGUUAAAAAGCUCGUAGUUGAACCUUGGGCCUGGCUGGCCGGUCCGCCUCACCGCGUGCACUGGUCCGGCCGGGCCUUUCCCUCUGUGGAACCCCAUACCCUUCACUGGGCGUGGCGGGGAAACAGGACAUUUACUUU
Molecule: ribosomal RNA, 576 nt
Filed under: uncultured eukaryote
Lineage: Eukaryota
Description: SSU rRNA
Rfam family: Eukaryotic small subunit ribosomal RNA
Source: RNAcentral